This 498-nucleotide ribosomal RNA is filed under the name uncultured bacterium. RNAcentral describes it as "partial 16S ribosomal RNA". It matches the Rfam family "Bacterial small subunit ribosomal RNA", at positions 30 to 523 of the family's 1533-position model. The record is from RNAcentral.
AUUGAACGCUGGCGGCAUGCUUUACACAUGCAAGUCGAACGGUAACAGGCCGCAAGAUGCUGACGAGUGGCGAACGGGUGAGUAAUGCAUCGGAACGUGCCCAGUCGUGGGGGAUAACGCAGCGAAAGCUGUGCUAAUACCGCAUACGAUCUAUGGAUGAAAGCGGGGGACCGUAAGGCCUCGCGCGAUUGGUGCGGCCGAUGUCAGAUUAGGUAGUUGGUGGGGUAAAGGCUCACCAAGCCAACGAUCUGUAGCUGGUCUGAGAGGACGACCAGCCACACUGGGACUGAGACACGGCCCAGACUCCUACGGGAGGCAGCAGUGGGGAAUUUUGGACAAUGGGCGCAAGCCUGAUCCAGCAAUGCCGCGUGCAGGAAGAAGGCCUUCGGGUUGUAAACUGCUUUUGUACGGAACGAAAAGGUUUCUACUAAUACUAGGAGCUCAUGACGGUACUGUAAGAAUAAGCACCGGCUAACUACGUGCCAGCAGCCGCAGUAA